Molecule: transfer RNA, 58 nt
Filed under: Salmo salar (Atlantic salmon)
Lineage: Eukaryota; Metazoa; Chordata; Actinopteri; Salmoniformes; Salmonidae
Rfam family: tRNA
About the family: Transfer RNA (tRNA) molecules are approximately 80 nucleotides in length. Their secondary structure includes four short double-helical elements and three loops (D, anti-codon, and T loops).
Source: Rfam by way of RNAcentral
UGGCUCAGUUGGUAGAGCAUUGUGUUUGCAACGCCAGGGUUGUGGGUUCAAUUCCCAU